Long non-coding RNA from Labeo rohita (rohu), 1383 nucleotides. RefSeq lists it as uncharacterized. The transcript is spliced from 2 exons. Lineage: Eukaryota; Metazoa; Chordata; Actinopteri; Cypriniformes; Cyprinidae. The record is from RefSeq and is a predicted model, not a curated record.
UCAAAGCCAGCUUUGAACACUAGGCUGAGUAUGUAGAUGUACCACAGCCCUCCACACUUCUUCCCUGGGUUGUGCUACAGGUUUUUAUUGGUAUUCUUUAUUUCACAACAUUCUGAUAUCAAUGUCUGAAAUCAAUUUCGUGAAGUGCCUUCGUAGACAAACACUGCCAGCCUUCAACUCAAAACUGCAGUCACAUAAAAGGCCACAUGUACGUUAAUCUGUUCCGGGGGAAAAACAAACACACUUUUAGUGCUACUCAGUGGACAUUUCAAAUAGAAUAUGUCACCAAACAUAUUUAAGUAGAAGAACAUGUCCUCCCCAUGCUGUCGAUUUUAGGUUUUCUUAAGUGCUGAUCAGUGUUUUGUGGACAAUCUCAGUUAGACUUUAAUAAGUACGGACACUUGUUUACUGUAUUAGGACAAGGGCAGGAUGCUUAUUGUGGUCUACUCCCACCAUGUUGUUCUCUGAAGGGGUUAUAUUUUUGUACACUAGGGGGCAGUAUGCUCAUUCAGUGAAUGAGAAUCAAGAAUACAGCCCUAAUCACCUUCUCAUUUUUUCAUGCAAAUAAUUACAUAAUUAAAAACAAAAACAGACACUCAGAAUUACUCAAUAGAUAAGUUAUGGUCACAGGAAAAGUCCUUAAAAUGUUUAUAUUCUUUUGCAUUAGAUUAUCUAUCUUAUUGGCCAAGGUCCAGUGUGUCUUAUUUCUGUUUACUUACUUAACUUUAUUGUCCUUAAAGGCAAUUCUUUUUGUAGACAGUGCAACACAACACAACACAACACAACAGACAUCAAAUAACACAUUUAUAAUAAGUCAUUUAAAAACAUUAUUCUAGCAGAUAUAAAGGAAGUCUUAUCUAUUUGAUUUGCACAAAGAAUGCUUAUAACUCCAGCCUGAGGGAAGCAGUUGAAAUUCAGUACACAAUGGGUGGGGACCUCGAAACUGGCCCUUCUUAGUCACCAAAUGUUCAUAAAUUUGUGUGAUAGUCCUUAAGUCGGUCCCCACUAUUUUGCUCCAGAUUUUAACUGUACUGUUCAACUUACUCCAAUUCUUCACAUUCAGUUUGCCAUUCCAACAAAUAAUAGGAAAAGCUUAAGACAGAUUUAAUAACACAGUUGUAAAACAUUUUCAUAAAAGAAACAUUCAUAUUAAAAGUUCAAGGUUUCCUCAGAAAAAUACAUACGCUGAAGAGCUUUCCCUUUAAUAAUGUUGGUGUUUACCUCACAUAUUAGUUUAGCAUCAAAUACAGUCUCUAAAUAUUUACACUCCCUGACCACUUCUACCUAAUGUCCCUUAAUGACAGUAGGCAACACAGGUACAGAGUUCUUCUUACGGAAAUCAAUGGACGUCUCUUUUUUUUUUUUUUUUUUUUUUUUUUUUUU